Molecule: ribosomal RNA, 412 nt
Filed under: Capra hircus (goat)
Lineage: Eukaryota; Metazoa; Chordata; Mammalia; Artiodactyla; Bovidae
Description: partial 12S ribosomal RNA
Rfam family: Bacterial small subunit ribosomal RNA
Source: RNAcentral
AGCACACAUCUCGUAGCUUACAACGCCUCGCUUAACCACACCCCUACGGGAGACAGCAGUGACAAAAAUUAAGCCAUAAACGAAAGUUUGACUAAGCCAUGUUGACCAGGGUUGGUAAAUCUCGUGCCAGCCACCGCGGUCAUACGAUUAACCCAAGCUAACAGGAAUACGGCGUAAAACGUGUUAAAGCACUACAUCAAAUAGAGUUAAAUUCUAAUUAAACUGUAAAAAGCCAUAAUUACAACAAAAAUAAAUGACGAAAGUAACCCUACUGCAGCUGAUACACUAUAGCUAAGACCCAAACUGGGAUUAGAUACCCCACUAUGCUUAGCCCUAAACACAAAUAAUUACAGAAACAAAAUUAUUCGCCAGAGUACUACCGGCAACAGCCCGAAACUCAAAGGACUUGGCG